Long non-coding RNA from Haliotis rubra (blacklip abalone), 3287 nucleotides. RefSeq lists it as uncharacterized. The transcript has 2 exons. Lineage: Eukaryota; Metazoa; Mollusca; Gastropoda; Lepetellida; Haliotidae. The record is from RefSeq and is a predicted model, not a curated record.
AGGCCCUGACAAUACUAAACACUAGUACAGUGUUUCCAAAAUCGUCUGUGUUUGAUUAUGAGAAAAUGUGAUCGAUUGCUUGGUCAUUUGGUCACUGCGACCAAUCUUCGAAUUAUUUCAGUUAACCGGAACAUCACUACUGAGUACUGGUACCUCUCAGGAAGUAUCACACACAUGGUAUGAUCUGACACCAAAGACAUUUCAUGCUUUAAUUCCUUGGCCGUUUAUACUCUUGGAUGUGAACCUGGUGCUGCUGUUUGCCAGCUGACACCGGUGGAUUAGAUAUCAUGAAAUACUGUUGGAAGCUGGGUUCAAACCUUCUUACUCACUCACUCACUCUGCAACUAGUUGUGACUGUCACAGUGUGUGCCAAAUCAAUAACUAUGACCAAAUAAUGGCAGACCGACCUGUGAGACAGAGGCUAAAAUACCUGCUGUUUCUAUGGCAUUUCUAAAUUUACUGAAUGACAUCUCCUUAUACACAAAUAUGGCCUCUGUUACAACUCAUGUUUUAAAGCCAGUUAAUGAGAAACCAAGUAUUACUUUUUGCUCAAAAUAUGAAUUCUUUGUUUAGUGUUCCUGACUUGUACAAUUAUUUACAUAUUUACCAUUUAUCAAGACUUGUGUGUGGUUGUAUGGUUGUGACCUAGUGUGGCUAUAGUGUAAUAGUUGUGUGCUGAAUCAGAUGUGAGUUGGUCAGUUGGCUUAGAAGAUGGCUCCAUAUUCCAUUAUCAAUAACAUUGAGUGUUCCUGUGUCUUAGAUAAUGUAAUGAAACAUGAUUAAUCAGUUUACAAUAGUCAGGUCUACCAACUUGUCUCAGUGUAAAGUAGUAAGUUGGCUUAUGCCUGUAAUGAAUUCAUGAAGAAAUUUUCAUCCUAGUAUGUUUCUCCUCCAACCCUGUGGGAAGAGCUGGUUCUAGGACAUAGAGUAGCAUGUAGGGGUGAUACAUUCAGGUGGUACAUUCAGGUGAUACAUAGGGUGAUGUGGGGAUGAUACGUUCAGGUGAUACAUAGGGGUGAUACAUCCAUGUUGUACAUGGGGAUGAUACAUUCAGGUGGUACAUGGGGUGACAUUAGGGGGUGAUACGUUCAGGUGAUACAUAGGGGUGAUACAUCCAUGCUGUACAUGGGGAUAUGUUCAGGUGAUACAUAGGGGUGAUACAUUCAGGUGGUACGUGGGGUGACAUGUAAGUGUGAUACAUAGGAGUGACAUGUAGGGGUGAUACAUAGGGGUAACAUAUAGGGUUAUAUGUUCUGGUGAUACAUAUGGGUGACAUGUAGGGGUGAUACAUUCAGGUGAUAAACAGGGGUGACAUGUAAGGGUAAUGUUUCCGUUUCAAUUUGGAAUUUAGUGUCUUACGAAGGUUAUUUUUUUCAUUUUUUUGUGAUAAUAUAUUGUCUUAAGGAGUGGUUGUAACUCAUAAGAAAAGUUUGUGCAAGGGGACCCAUUUACAGUUACUUCUACUUAAUGCCACACAUCUUGUUGCUGCAAUGGUUCUGUUUAUUUCCUGUAAUGCUGCAACAUGAGUCCAGUGAUAUUUUAUAUGAUCACCUUACUCAUAUUUCAGGCCUACUUACAUGAUUUCAUUACAUGUUCAUGAUUGCCCUUCAUCACUAUCACCUCUUUCUGUAACCUCGAAAAUGGCUUGUUCUAGGACAGUCAGUUUCUAGCAAAAUACAUUUGUAAAAGUGAAAUGCUCCCUGUCUCAUUUAUGACAGUGGAUGAAAUCUAAUAAAGAAUUUAUAUUCGCUGUAUGGGAAAUGUUUAUGUGACUAAUCUAUCUUGUAUAUAGCUUCUGAUAGGAAGUAAAUGAUCACUCAAGCCAAGUGGAGAUCCAGUUGUACAGCCUCAUUCUGAUCGGACCAGCCUCACUCUGACUGGGCCAGCCUCAUUCUGAUUUGGCCAGGUCACUCUGACUGGGCCAGCCUCACUUCUUCCAUUGCUUGCCUUUGAACAACAUACACCUCAUAAUGAAGCGCAUGAUCUUUAUCUGGUGUGAUUGCUCAUAAUGGUGAUCUAUGUUUGUUUCAUGGUUGUUGAAGUGAAUGGAUUCAAGAAAUGAUAUUGUACAUCACCUCACAUUCUCAAAUCCAGGGAUAUGGCAUUCUGUGUGGCUCUGCUAUUUCCAUGGAGAUCUAGAGCUGGAAAACUAUUUGUUCAUUGCUGACUUUGUCACAAGAGCUGCAAUGCAGAGCAAACAAAUAUACAACCUACCUGUAGGAAAGUUUCCCAAAGCCAUUAAAUGGAUCCACACAAUGAGUCCCAAGCCCUGAGUGCAGAUUGGCUGGUGUAGCCUCUAUCCAGGGGGUUAGAGGAGAUACAAAGCAUAACAUAUCCCUGGCUUUCAGGAUGAUUACAGCACUUAUACAACUGUUUUAGUGCUCAUUCUGUCAACAUACUCUUUUCAAUACUUUGUUAAUGAAUUAUUACUUGAAAUUGGAAUUUGUUGAAAUGUUGGUUUUAAGCAUAUUUCAUUGUCAGUGAGACAGUAGGAUAAAACAUGAGCAAUAAAUAUUUGAUGCCUUCUUGAAAUGUGUUUCUCAGGAUAAUUAACUGAUUUACGGUUUCAUUCGUGUUGAGAAAAGAAUUGCAUGAAGCAGUACAUCAGUAUUUCUGACUCGCUGUAAAAUGGUGAACAGGUGAACUUGUUAGAAAUCAGUAAUUGAAAUGUUAAAACUUUUUCACUUUUCGGUAUUGUUAUGUUUCUAGAAGUGCAGUUAUGACACCAGACACACACAGUAUGUCGGGACCAGUCAGUUACAAGGUAGUGGUAUUGUUUAUUUGUUUAAGGUUGUUCUGAAAAUUGUAAUAUACCUAUUUUCAGUAAGUUAAGCAGCUGUAUAUUAUUAUACACUUAUCCUGACAGAUUGACUUGAAUGAGUAUGAAAGAAUCAUGAAUUAAGAUUAAAACCAAGAAUGUAUUUGGUGACCUUCUGAACCUUGUAACAUAUGACUGGUCUCAGUGUCUGGUAAAACAAAAAAUGAAAACAAAAAAAUGGAUAAAUCAUGAUUUUAUCAAUUAUUUGUUGUAACUAGGGAACAGUUCCAUCUGACUGUAUGAGUUUGUGUAUGUUUGUUUCAUCACCUGCUUACAAAGCGACAUGUCCAUGUGUUAGUCUUCGUCUCAAGGUUGUCUCGUUUCUUGAAAUGGAUGUCUAUCAAGACAUCUAAAAAUUACUUCAUAGUGCUAUUUUAGGACACUUUAUUGAUUUCUUUUCAAUUCUUCUUGAUGCUAUCACCUGUUUGCAUAAAUCUUGAUUUUAUGGUAAUAAAGUUGAUUAACUUUA